RNAcentral lists this transfer RNA (64 nucleotides) under Cavia porcellus (domestic guinea pig). It matches the Rfam family "tRNA". Rfam says of the family: Transfer RNA (tRNA) molecules are approximately 80 nucleotides in length. Lineage: Eukaryota; Metazoa; Chordata; Mammalia; Rodentia; Caviidae. The record is from Rfam by way of RNAcentral.
GGGGAUUUAGCUCAGCGGCAUAAGCACUUGCCUGGCAAGCAUGAGGUCGUGAGUUCAAUCUCCA